Molecule: ribosomal RNA, 676 nt
Filed under: Salmonella enterica subsp. enterica serovar Enteritidis
Lineage: Bacteria; Pseudomonadati; Pseudomonadota; Gammaproteobacteria; Enterobacterales; Enterobacteriaceae
Description: bacterial SSU rRNA
Rfam family: Bacterial small subunit ribosomal RNA
Source: RNAcentral
CCGCCUGGGGAGUACGGCCGCAAGGUUAAAACUCAAAUGAAUUGACGGGGGCCCGCACAAGCGGUGGAGCAUGUGGUUUAAUUCGAUGCAACGCGAAGAACCUUACCUGGUCUUGACAUCCACAGAAGAAUCCAGAGAUGGAUUUGUGCCUUCGGGAACUGUGAGACAGGUGCUGCAUGGCUGUCGUCAGCUCGUGUUGUGAAAUGUUGGGUUAAGUCCCGCAACGAGCGCAACCCUUAUCCUUUGUUGCCAGCGAUUAGGUCGGGAACUCAAAGGAGACUGCCAGUGAUAAACUGGAGGAAGGUGGGGAUGACGUCAAGUCAUCAUGGCCCUUACGACCAGGGCUACACACGUGCUACAAUGGCGCAUACAAAGAGAAGCGACCUCGCGAGAGCAAGCGGACCUCAUAAAGUGCGUCGUAGUCCGGAUUGGAGUCUGCAACUCGACUCCAUGAAGUCGGAAUCGCUAGUAAUCGUGGAUCAGAAUGCCACGGUGAAUACGUUCCCGGGCCUUGUACACACCGCCCGUCACACCAUGGGAGUGGGUUGCAAAAGAAGUAGGUAGCUUAACCUUCGGGAGGGCGCUUACCACUUUGUGAUUCAUGACUGGGGUGAAGUCGUAACAAGGUAACCGUAGGGGAACCUGCGGUUGGAUCACCUCCUUACCUGAAAGAAGC